CCAGGGGUCGCCCUCUGGAAGGGAUUAUUCAGUCGUUUCUGAUCAGUCCUCCAUGCUGCGAAGGGUCACCCUUUGGAAGGGUAGGGCAUCCUGGUGCCUCUGGUCACGAACACCAAAAUGCUAUUUAAUGCAAGGCUGUUUAUACCUGAAGUAUUUUACUGAAGUCUCCGUUGGAUUCCGACCUGCAACCAAGCUAGCUAUGGAGCACCUAGAUUUUACCUCCAUGCAGCUCAAGAAACAUGCUAACUAUCUGGUCGUG
RNAcentral lists this long non-coding RNA (259 nucleotides) under Elaeis guineensis (African oil palm). RNAcentral's name for it is "long non-coding RNA (EGUI_LNC006597)". The record is from RNAcentral. Lineage: Eukaryota; Viridiplantae; Streptophyta; Magnoliopsida; Arecales; Arecaceae.